CCUACGGGAGGCUGCAGUAGGGAAUAUUGCUCAAUGGGGGAAACCCUGAUGCAGCAACGCCGCGUGGAGGAUGAAGGUUUUCGGAUUGUAAACUCCUUUUGUUAGAGAAGAUAAUGACGGUAUCUAUAGCAUAAGCACCGGCUAACUCCGUCCCAGCAGCCGCGGUCAUACGGAGGGUGCAAGCGUUACUCGGAAUCACUGGGCGUAAAGAGCGCGUAGGCGGGAUAGCAAGUCAGAUGUGAAAUCCUAUGGCUUAACCAUAGAACUGCAUUUGAAACUGUUAUUCUAGAGUAUGGGAGAGGUAUGUGGAAUUCUGGGUGUAGGGGUAAAAUCCGUAGAGAUCAAGAGGAAUACUCAUUGCGAAGGCGACCUGCUAGAACAUAACUGACGCUGAUGCGCGAAAGCGUGGGGAGCAAACAGGAUUAGAUACCCCGGUAGUC
RNAcentral lists this ribosomal RNA (440 nucleotides) under uncultured bacterium. Its description in RNAcentral is "partial 16S ribosomal RNA". It matches the Rfam family "Bacterial small subunit ribosomal RNA", at positions 338 to 795 of the family's 1533-position model. The record is from RNAcentral.